GCGGAGGAAAAGAAACCAACAGGGAUUGCCCUAGUAACGGCGAGUGAAGCGGCAACAGCUCAAAUUUGAAAUCUGGCUUCGGCCCGAGUUGUAAUUUGCAGAGGAAGCUUUAGGCGCGGCACCUCCUGAGUCCCCUGGAACGGGGCGCCACAGAGGGUGAGAGCCCCGUAUAGUUGGAUGCCUAGCCUGUGUAAAGCUCCUUCGACGAGUCGAGUAGUUUGGGAAUGCUGCUCAAAAUGGGAGGUAAAUUUCUUCUAAAGCUAAAUACCGGCCAGAGACCGAUAGCGCACAAGUAGAGUGAUCGAAAGAUGAAAAGCACUUUGAAAAGAGGGUUAAAUAGCACGUGAAAUUGUUGAAAGGGAAGCGCUUGUGACCAGACUUGCGCCGGGCUGAUCAUCCGGUGUUCUCACCGGUGCACUCUGCCCGGCUCAGGCCAGCAUCGGUUCUCGCGGGGGGAUAAAGGCCCUGGGAACGUAGCUCCUCCGGGAGUGUUAUAGCCCGGGGCGCAAUGCCCUCGCGGGGACCGAGGUUCGCGCUCUGCAAGGAUGCUGGCGUAAUGGUCAUCAGCGACCCGUCUUGAAACACGGACCAAGGAGUCAAGGUUUUGCGCGAGUGUUUGGGUGUAAAACCCGCACGCGUAAUGAAAGUGAACGUAGGUGAGAGCUUCGGCGCAUCAUCGACCGAUCCUGAUGUUCUCGGAUGGAUUUGAGUAGGAGCGUUAAGCCUUGGACCCGAAAGAUGGUGAACUAUGCUUGGAUAGGGUGAAGCCAGAGGAAACUCUGGUGGAGGCUCGCAGCGGUUCUGACGUGCAAAUCGAUCGUCAAAUCUGAGCAUGGGGGCGAAAGACUAAUCGAACCAUCUAGUAGCUGGUUACCGCCGAAGUUCCCCUCAGGA
Molecule: ribosomal RNA, 894 nt
Filed under: Acrophialophora levis
Lineage: Eukaryota; Fungi; Ascomycota; Sordariomycetes; Sordariales; Chaetomiaceae
Description: eukaryotic LSU rRNA
Rfam family: Eukaryotic large subunit ribosomal RNA
Source: RNAcentral